RNAcentral lists this ribosomal RNA (450 nucleotides) under uncultured bacterium. Its description in RNAcentral is "partial 16S ribosomal RNA". It matches the Rfam family "Bacterial small subunit ribosomal RNA", at positions 354 to 796 of the family's 1533-position model. The record is from RNAcentral.
GUGGGGAAUAUUGGACAAUGGGCGAAAGCCUGAUCCAGCCAUGCCGCGUGUGUGAAGAAGGUCUUCGGAUUGUAAAGCACUUUAAGUUGGGAGGAAGGGCAGUAAGUUAAUACCUUGCUGUUUUGACGUUACCGACAGAAUAAGCACCGGCUAACUUCGUGCCAGCAGCCGCGGUAAUACGAAGGGUGCAAGCGUUAAUCGGAAUUACUGGGCGUAAAGCGCGCGUAGGUGGUUUUGUAAGUUGGAGGUGAAAUCCCCGGGCUCAACCUGGGAACUGCCUCGAAAACUGCAUGACUAGAGUACGGUAGAGGGUAGUGGAAUUUCCUGUGUAGCGGUGAAAUGCGUAGAUAUAGGAAGGAACACCAGUGGCGAAGGCGACUACCUGGACUGAUACUGACACUGAGGUGCGAAAGCGUGGGGAGCAAACAGGAUUAGAAACCCGAGUAGUCC